AGCUUUGCGCAGUGGCAGUAUUGUAGCCAGUGAAGUUUAUCCAAGGCGCAGUUGUUGCUAAUUGAAAAACAUCAUUUGUGUUUAGAUAGAGGUUUGCUGAAAUAUAUAAGGAGCCGUCUUUUAAAAAUGACG
Molecule: small nuclear RNA, 132 nt
Filed under: Suricata suricatta (meerkat)
Lineage: Eukaryota; Metazoa; Chordata; Mammalia; Carnivora; Herpestidae
Description: U4 spliceosomal RNA (ENSSSUG00005000445.1)
Rfam family: U4 spliceosomal RNA (bases 1-77)
About the family: U4 small nuclear RNA (U4 snRNA) is a component of the major U2-dependent spliceosome. The structure of U4 snRNA from yeast and human has been reported.
Source: Rfam by way of RNAcentral